UGAUGUGGUUUAAUUCGAUGCAACGCGAAAACCUUACCCACCUUUGACAUGUACGGAAUCCUUUAGAGAUAGAGGAGUGCUCGAAAGAGAGCCGUAACACAGGUGCUGCAUGGCUGUCGUCAGCUCGUGUCGUGAGAUGUUGGGUUAAGUCCCGCAACGAGCGCAACCCUUGUCAUUAGUUGCUACGAAAGGGCACUCUAAUGAGACUGCCGGUGACAAACCGGAGGAAAGGUGGGGAUGACGUCAAGUCCUCAUGGCCCUUAUAGGUGGGGCUACACACGUCAUACAAUGGCUGGUACAAAGGGUUGCCAACCCGCGAGGGGGAGCCAAUCCCAUAAAGCCAGUCGUAGUCCGGAUCGCAGUCUGCAACUCGACUGCGUGAAGUCGGAAUCGCUAGUAAUCGUGGAUCAGCAUGUCACGGUGAAUACGUUCCCGGGUCUU
This 441-nucleotide ribosomal RNA is filed under the name uncultured Comamonas sp. RNAcentral's name for it is "bacterial SSU rRNA". It matches the Rfam family "Bacterial small subunit ribosomal RNA", at positions 937 to 1382 of the family's 1533-position model. The record is from RNAcentral. Lineage: Bacteria; Pseudomonadati; Pseudomonadota; Betaproteobacteria; Burkholderiales; Comamonadaceae.